Molecule: ribosomal RNA, 495 nt
Filed under: uncultured bacterium
Lineage: Bacteria
Description: partial 16S ribosomal RNA
Rfam family: Bacterial small subunit ribosomal RNA
Source: RNAcentral
UGAACGCUGGCGGCGUGCCUCAUACAUGCAAGUCGAGCGAACAGACGCGGAGCUUGCUCCUCUGACGUUAGCGGCGGACGGGUGAGUAACACGUGGAUAACCUACCUAUAAGACUGGGAUAACUUCGGGAAACCGGAGCUAAUACCGGAUAAUAUAUUGAACCGCAUGGUUCAAUAGUGAAAGACGGUUUUGCUGUCACUUAUAGAUGGAUCCGCGCCGCAUUAGCUAGUUGGUAAGGUAACGGCUUACCAAGGCAACGAUGCGUAGCCGACCUGAGAGGGUGAUCGGCCACACUGGAACUGAGACACGGUCCAGACUCCUACGUGAGGCAGCAGUAGGGAAUCUUCCGCAAUGGGCGAAAGCUUGACGGAGCAACGCCGCGUGAGUGAUGAAGGUCUUCGGAUCGUAAAACUCUGUUAUUAGGGAAGAACAAAUGUGUAAGUAACUAUGCACGUCUUGACGGUACCUAAUCAGAAAGCCACGGCUAACUACGUG